AUAACCCCGGGAGACUGGGGAUAAUACCCCAUAAUCUAUGGAAGCUGGAAUGCUCUAUAGUUGAAAGAUUUAUCGCCUUAGGAUGGGUCUGCGGCCGAUUAGGUAGUUGUUGGGGUAACGGCCCAACAAGCCUUUGAUCGGUACGGGUUGUGGGAGCAAGAGCCCGGAGAUGGAUUCUGAGACACGAAUCCAGGCCCUACGGGGCGCAGCAGGCGCGAAAACUUUACAAUGCGGGAAACCGUGAUAAGGGAACUCCGAGUGCCCGUAAACGCGGGCUGUCCAUCUGCUUAAAAAACAGGUGAAGAAAGGGCCGGGCAAGACCGGUGCCAGCCGCCGCGGUAAUACCGGCGGCUCGAGUGGUGGCCACUAUUACUGGGCUUAAAGCGUCCGUAGCUUGGUUGUUAAGUCUCUUGGGAAAUCUGUCGGCUUAACCGACAGGCGUUUAAGGGAUACUGGCAAUCUAGGGACCGGGAGAGGUGAGAGGUACUUCAGGGGUAGGAGUGAAAUCCUGUAAUCCUUGGGGGACCACCUGUGGCGUAGACGUCUCACCAGAACGGCUCCGACAGUGAGGGACGAAAGCUGGGGGAGCAAACCGGAUUAGAUACCCGGGUAGUCCCAGCCGUAAACGAUGCGCGUUAGGUGUAUCGGUGACCACGAGUCACCGAGGUGCCGAAGGGAAACCGUGAAACGUGCCGCCUGGGAAGUACGGUCGCAAGGCUGAAACUUAA
Molecule: ribosomal RNA, 728 nt
Filed under: uncultured archaeon
Lineage: Archaea
Description: bacterial SSU rRNA
Rfam family: Archaeal small subunit ribosomal RNA
Source: RNAcentral